GAUGGUAGAAAUGGGAUA
This 18-nucleotide non-coding RNA is filed under the name Arabidopsis thaliana (thale cress). Lineage: Eukaryota; Viridiplantae; Streptophyta; Magnoliopsida; Brassicales; Brassicaceae. The record is from RNAcentral.